This is a long non-coding RNA of Pogona vitticeps (central bearded dragon), 1846 nucleotides long. NCBI's taxonomy places the organism in Eukaryota, Metazoa, Chordata, Lepidosauria, Squamata, Agamidae. The record is from Ensembl.
AUGCUGGCAAACUAUUUGAAGCGUAAUCUGAGUUACUUGUUUUGCUCAUCUCACUUAACUGAGCUAGGUGCUAAAGAACAUAAAUGUGUGUCCAUUGCAAGUAGCUGUUGCAUUAUUAUUUCUGCUUACUGCUAUUUUAGUAGCAGUGUUAGCAUUAGCAACAUUACAGUAGGGGUGGGAAGGAAAUGCAGUUGCAACACUACAAUUACCAUUCAAUCAACAAUGUGUGCAAUCAGUCUCUGUUGCAAAUUAAGAGAACCAGUUUCCCCAGAGCUCAAUCCAGGAAUCUGUAUAUCUGAAUACAACAUGGUGGUUGUGCUUGUCGACCAUUGCAAUCACACAGACUAUGGACAUUGCUAUGGACUUUAAAAGAGCUAGGUGGUACGUAGGUCUCUUGACAUUGUUAUUGGUCCCUACAACUUAAGCACAAAAAGGGAAGUCAACCAGCCCUUUCUUCUCAGGUCACUUACCCUCUUUCCUGGUUGUGUUCAUCUAAACUGGAAAUAUAUUGUGUUCCUGUAUCUUAAAAAAACAUUUGAAGCUGAACAGAGAACUUCAAAAUAUAUAUGGCACACUCUUUGGCAAAAGGAGGUUUCUUUUUGUUGUUCAAAAUAGACCCAUUCCAAUCAGCUGAACAAGAUAAGUGAAUAUGAAGUUACUUAAACUUCUAGGUGUAGUGUUAAAAACCUAGAAACCCCUAAUCCUAGCAGUUUCAAAGAUCUGGAACAUCCAUUGGGUUCUACGUUUGUGCAUUCCUCCUGGUGGCAUUUGAAGGGGCAGCGGCUAAAGAACAUGGCUUCCUUUAUGUGGCUGUGUUUUGACGUAAGGAUCUCAGUGCUAAAUGUCCUUUCAGAUGGGAAGCCUUUGCAGUUAGUGUAACACCAAUUGCUUUGUUGAAACAAAACUCAGCUCUUUUGUUUUAUUCUAGAACAAUAGAAUUCAUCCCUGGCCUUCUAAUGACUUGAGAGUGUUUCUUCCAACAGUCUGCAUGUUUGAAUAGUCUGCACUGCUAGAUCAGUCGCAGUAUUAAUCAACAUCAUCCAUCAUUGUUCUCUGCUUUCAUCACUCUUUUCUGACCACACCUGCUAUCUUGUCUUGCUUUCUUAAAUGUAGUUGUCAUCCUCACAGCUAUUUCCUUGGUGGUGUGGGCCUGAUCCUGUUUAAUGUCCAAAGUGAGAGAGCUGGGUGUUAGGAUGCUAAAAGGCCCUGAACAUGCUCACUCCAAAUUGGUAUUGUUGUCUAUAUUUAUGACAUUCCUCUUUAUAUCCCCUUGUUUUGACACACUUGGAGGCCUCAAAGUUCUACAGGGCUCCUCUUCUUAGGGUGUAUUUUCUGAGUGUGGUACUUUUAAAUGAUGAAGAAAAGGGGGAAAGCCCAGUACAUCCCCCUCAUAAUGUACCACUUUCAAUAGUUCUGUCCUCCGGUAACAGUGUGUCUGGCUGUUUUUGUUUCUGUUUUCUUAUUACUUUAAGUAUUUAUUUUCUGGAAAACCGGUGGAAUUUGUUGUCAGUUCUUUCAAAGAUUAAGUGGUGCUUCUAGUGAUGUUUCUAUUAACAGCAUUGGCCAUUGUGUGUGUGUGUGUAUGUGUGUGCGUACCCAUACAAGUAAAACAUUUUUUGAGAGGCUACAGCCCCUGAAUGGUGUAUGUCAAUUAAUACCUUUAUGAUGCUGUAACUCUGUCGCUGUAGGAAUCCUGGGCAAUUAUUGCACUGUUAUUUUGGAACUGCUGCUUAAAAAUUGGGAAAAAAAGGUGAGCAAACAUUUUCCUCUUGGAGAAUUUUAAAUAUAACUUUUGUGUAUUGUCAUGUAAAAUAAAUAUGCUAAAUGGAACUUAAUCUGACUUUUU